CACGUAGGUGGCAAGCGUUAUCCGGAAUUACUGGGCGUAAAGCGUGCGCAGGCAGUUGGUUAAGUCUGAUGUGAAAGCCCCGGGCUCAACCUGGGAAUGGCAUUGGAAACUGGCUGGCUAGAGUGUGGCAGAGGGGGGUGGAAUUCCGCGUGUAGCAGUGAAAUGCGUAGAGAUGCGGAGGAACACCGAUGGCGAAGGCAGCCCCCUGGGCUAGCACUGACGCUCAGGCACGAAAGCGUGGGGAGCAAACAGG
RNAcentral lists this ribosomal RNA (253 nucleotides) under uncultured bacterium. RNAcentral's name for it is "partial 16S ribosomal RNA". It matches the Rfam family "Bacterial small subunit ribosomal RNA", at positions 524 to 776 of the family's 1533-position model. The record is from RNAcentral.